UCUCUGAUGGUCUAGUGGCUAAGACUCUGUCCUCCAAUGCAGAGAGUCCAGGUUUGAUCCCUGAUCAGUGAA
This 72-nucleotide transfer RNA is filed under the name Ovis aries (sheep). It matches the Rfam family "tRNA". Rfam says of the family: Transfer RNA (tRNA) molecules are approximately 80 nucleotides in length. Their secondary structure includes four short double-helical elements and three loops (D, anti-codon, and T loops). Lineage: Eukaryota; Metazoa; Chordata; Mammalia; Artiodactyla; Bovidae. The record is from Rfam by way of RNAcentral.